UGGAACGGAAAUCUCGCCUAAUCGUGAUUCAAAUCCCAGAUCGGUGGGACUUUCGUUCGUUU
This 62-nucleotide microRNA precursor is filed under the name Ptychodera flava. RNAcentral describes it as "Pfl-Mir-278_pre stem-loop". Lineage: Eukaryota; Metazoa; Hemichordata; Enteropneusta; Ptychoderidae. The record is from RNAcentral.